CAUGCGUACACGGUCUCUAGGGCUAAACUUACUGCUCCCAGGCCCGGGGAGGACGAACUGCAUGCAUGAUGGUUCGUAGGCCUAAGAAAUUUCAAACCACCGGGAUGUCUGUAUUCAAGCAAUUGUUAAGAAGAGUUGCCAUUUUGCCUAAUCCAAAAUUUAUGGCCCAGUUCAAACAAAGACAGGAAUGGAAAAGUCAACAUCACAGAGUUCCCUUGAUGAACACUGAAGCCUUCAGAGUACAGUCAGUGUGAUGUUUUGCCCAGAGACUGUUGUUAUCCCAAAAGAGAGGGAAUGUGUGGUGCUAUUAGAAAUGAAUAUGUCAAGCUAUAGUCAAGCACCAGGAGAUAAAUAGGGGAUGGAAAUGCAUUUCUCUCAGCAAGUGAAAAAGUUGAUGGCAAAAAGGUUUGUCACCUUUGAGUGUGAUUCACUGUCAUCCUCUCUCCACAAUCUAUGAAAAUUCAACAUGAAAGAUAUUAUUAUUUUAGGUGAUGACAUAAUUCAUACUCACAAUGAUUCACCUGUAUUGUAUUUGAAGCCUGCUUAUUUUUCUGCAUCCUAGAAUGAAAAUAAUUUGGUUGGUGGGAUUUUUUGUGAUCUCUAAUACUAUUCAUUUAAGCUGGUCUUUAGUUCUAAAAUUUCUCUAUGCUUACAUUUUUCUGAAGUUCCAAAUAACCAAAAGUUCUCAGGGAAUAGGAAGAUGCCAUUACAAGUAGAAAGAUUAGCAUAUCACAAAGACCAAAUAACAAUACAAAGAAACUGAGAUUACUGAUUUUCCUCUCAAAUAUUCACCUAAUGUUAUUUGAAGGCUUUUGUUUAGCAAUGCUGCAUACACAUCAGACACUCAAUUAAACCUUGUUCAAUAAAUGAAUGAACUCCGAAUAAAACUUGAAUUUAAUUUUUUUAGUUUAGUUUAUUUAAUGUGAUAUUAACAUAUUUUACUAUAUCAUUUUGCUAUGUCCAGAUGAUUUUAUUACUUUGUCAAGGAGAAUUUUUUCAUAAUUAAUUUGAUUUUAU
Long non-coding RNA from Zalophus californianus (California sea lion), 1017 nucleotides. RefSeq lists it as uncharacterized. NCBI's taxonomy places the organism in Eukaryota, Metazoa, Chordata, Mammalia, Carnivora, Otariidae. The record is from RefSeq and is a predicted model, not a curated record. The transcript has 5 exons.